Non-coding RNA from Mycena leptocephala, 101 nucleotides. NCBI's taxonomy places the organism in Eukaryota, Fungi, Basidiomycota, Agaricomycetes, Agaricales, Mycenaceae. The record is from the annotation of a GenBank genome assembly.
GGCCCGGUGGCAUGUGGCAUGCAUCUGCACACCAUCGGUUGGCCCGUCAUUGAAUCAUUUCGAGCUGAGCAGAUAACCCGGUUCGAUUCCGGGCUGGGCCA